Molecule: small RNA, 148 nt
Filed under: human gut metagenome
Description: Clostridiales-1 RNA
Rfam family: Clostridiales-1 RNA
Source: RNAcentral
CAGUCUCAAAGCAGAGACAGAUGGGCUGCUUGCAGACCAGUCCGGCUCUGCUUUAGAGACGACAACAGGUAUGAAGAAGAAGGCCGACAGGCCGGAUUCUGAAUACCUGUAGAAUUGCGAGAGCACGCAGUGCGGAGCAAUUCGUGGG